UACGUAGGUGGCAAGCGUUAUCCGGAAUUACUGGGCGUAAAGCGCACGCAGGCGGCGCAGCAAGUUCGACGUGAAAGCUCCCGGCUCAACUGGGAGAGGUCGUUGAAGACUGCUGUGCUUGAGGCAAUGAGAGGGAUGCGGAAUUCCAGGUGUAGCGGUGAAAUGCGUAGAUAUCUGGAGGAACACCGGUGGCGAAGGCGGCAUCCUGGACCAACACUGACACUGAUGAGCGAAAGCCAGGGGAGCAAACGGG
RNAcentral lists this ribosomal RNA (253 nucleotides) under uncultured bacterium. Its description in RNAcentral is "partial 16S ribosomal RNA". It matches the Rfam family "Bacterial small subunit ribosomal RNA", at positions 524 to 776 of the family's 1533-position model. The record is from RNAcentral.